CUCGUCAGUGAUGUUUUUCCACAGAAGUAUUUGAGUUUAACGACCAUGAGAAUACUUCACAUGCACUACCAUCUGAGACAGA
Molecule: small nucleolar RNA, 82 nt
Organism: Electrophorus electricus (electric eel)
Lineage: Eukaryota; Metazoa; Chordata; Actinopteri; Gymnotiformes; Gymnotidae
Source: Ensembl